UUUCACUAGCCCGCUCGAAAAUAGCUGCGUAACGAUCAAGAAAGUCUAAAACCUAAAUCCCAAACAACUUAUCUUUUAUCCUGUCUCUUGGUUUGUGAUUCUUUUUUCUGCAUAAAAAAUCAACUUAAAAAAACAGUCUACCGGAACCGGAGCCUUAAUAAAAGUGAAAAGAUGUGCUGAAGUGUUUUGUUAAUCAUGGAGAUUUUUAGAUUUGUCAGUCGAUCUCGGAUCUGGAAGCUGGAACGGGUUUUUCUUUAUUCAAGAUUCUAACACAAUUUUAUUUUAAAAAUUAGUCGUUAAGCCCAGCCGGUUAUAAUGCUGAACAGUGAACAUUUUAUAUUCACAGUUCACACUUCACAGUCGAAUUUGCCGCUUUGGCUCUUAGCAAUUGCAGGGAUGCCAGAUGCGGACUUUUAAAUUGCAAAACUGAAAAUGGCAAUGUUGCGCCUUGCCCGUUACUUUCAAGAUGGCUGUUACUACUGUCAGAGUGUCAGUCUUACGUGGUUACGCCAAUCUCUUCGGAUCUAACAUAAUUCAACUCAACUUUCUCAACUUAUUUUCCCUGGCAUUAUUCGCCAUAAAAAUGAUAACAUAGCCUGCAAUUUAUACAUGGCAAUUUCAUCUUAUCAUGUGGCCUGAAACUGCUGUUUCCCAAAAUGUCGUCUCUAGCUGCACGUACCGGCUGUACGCUUCAGAACAGUAAAUGUGAUCAUUUUGAGCUUCUUCAUUGCAGUCCAGAUUUCUCAUUGAUUUGUUGAAGCCAGCUGGCGAAAGGUGUUGCUCUUACUGUCUUGCUACCUGUACCAGUUGUAGCUUUCGUCACACACUGAAACACUUCCGAACAAUUUAAAUAGGAUUAACAGCUACUUGAAGUCUGAGCCUCUUUGUUGCAGUCCAAUAUGUACAUGAAUGUUGUGAAGCCAGCUGGAGAAUGGUGUGGUGAGCUGUUGCAUGCCGACUGGGUUGCUGGUGUCGUUUGUUCAUUUAACUAUGGACCGUUCAGUCGUUCGUUUAUCGUAAGAUAUCUGUCACUUGUCGUGUAAAAUUGUGUCCACCAGGUGGCGAAGUUAGUAGGUUAGCAUUUCGUUGUUGAUGUCGAAGACAAUUAGACAAGUGACAUCCUAAUUUGGGCUCCUAACUAAGUACUUUUGUGGAAAAUACUUGUUAAGAGUUGUAAACUUUUGUUGAUGGAACAUAACAGAAAUAGAAAUUCCUUUGCUUUUUAAAACUUGAAAUUAUAUUUUUGAUCAUCUUAUUGAUUUCUUUUACUCUAGUUUAGUGUACAUUUCAAGUUUCCAUGGUCAGUUUUAUGUUUGAGCUGUUUGUGGCGUUGCUGUUUGGGGUACAGUGGUUUUGCAGUCAUUUUCUAGUUGAGAGAUGCGCUGAAAUGGAGCUUGUGCGGACUUGCAGUUGAACAUAAUACUUUAAUGUGUUAUUUGCCUAUGUCGGUGUCCAUGCACUCUAUGCAGUGUUGAACUGCUGUGAAAAAUAAUCGAUAUUGCCUGAUGGCUGUCGGGCUUAUUUUAUCGGCAGCAUGUUGUCGAUAUGUCGUCUCUUGCUACCUGUACCGCCGUUGA
Daphnia pulicaria is the source of this 1577-nucleotide long non-coding RNA. RefSeq lists it as uncharacterized. The record is from RefSeq and is a predicted model, not a curated record. Lineage: Eukaryota; Metazoa; Arthropoda; Branchiopoda; Diplostraca; Daphniidae. The transcript is spliced from 5 exons.